This 88-nucleotide microRNA precursor is filed under the name Notamacropus eugenii (tammar wallaby). RNAcentral's name for it is "miRNA (ENSMEUG00000017096.1)". Lineage: Eukaryota; Metazoa; Chordata; Mammalia; Diprotodontia; Macropodidae. The record is from RNAcentral.
UGUGUGUGUGUGUGUGUGUGUGUGUGUGUGUGUGUGUGUGUGUGUGUGUGUGUUCGAGCUCAUGAACUCUUGAACACACUAAGCACUC